Molecule: long non-coding RNA, 399 nt
Filed under: Ananas comosus (pineapple)
Lineage: Eukaryota; Viridiplantae; Streptophyta; Magnoliopsida; Poales; Bromeliaceae
Description: long non-coding RNA (ACOM_LNC025014)
Source: RNAcentral
GAUUUAGUUGUUUACUUUUGAUGAUUUUAUUUUGUUUUUUUUUUGGAUAAACUUCAAAUAUCAUCCCCAUAGUUUCUCACUUUUUCACUUUAGUAUCAUAUGAUUUAAAGUGUAUCAAAUUAGUGUCCUCUGAUUUCUUUUUUUUUUUUGUCAGCUUUUCCGUUAAUAUUUCGUUAAAUUAUAUACAAAAAAUUUUAGAUACCCCAUUUAGGUUUAUCGAAUAUUCACUUUAGUACCUUUUAGUUUUAACUUUGUUACUUAUUUAACGAAAAUAAUUAGUAAAAUCGAUAAUAAAAAAUAAAAAUAAAAUUACAUGACACUAAAUGAGAAAAUGUGAAACUGUGGGGUGAUAUUUGAAGUUUUUUUUCAUUUCUUAAACUUUGUUGUUAUUGAAAAAGU